RNAcentral lists this ribosomal RNA (856 nucleotides) under Staphylococcus epidermidis. RNAcentral's name for it is "bacterial SSU rRNA". It matches the Rfam family "Bacterial small subunit ribosomal RNA", at positions 1 to 838 of the family's 1533-position model. The record is from RNAcentral. Lineage: Bacteria; Bacillati; Bacillota; Bacilli; Caryophanales; Staphylococcaceae.
UUUAUGGAGAGUUUGAUCCUGGCUCAGGAUGAACGCUGGCGGCGUGCCUAAUACAUGCAAGUCGAGCGAACAGACGAGGAGCUUGCUCCUCUGACGUUAGCGGCGGACGGGUGAGUAACACGUGGAUAACCUACCUAUAAGACUGGGAUAACUUCGGGAAACCGGAGCUAAUACCGGAUAAUAUAUUGAACCGCAUGGUUCAAUAGUGAAAGACGGUUUUGCUGUCACUUAUAGAUGGAUCCGCGCCGCAUUAGCUAGUUGGUAAGGUAACGGCUUACCAAGGCAACGAUGCGUAGCCGACCUGAGAGGGUGAUCGGCCACACUGGAACUGAGACACGGUCCAGACUCCUACGGGAGGCAGCAGUAGGGAAUCUUCCGCAAUGGGCGAAAGCCUGACGGAGCAACGCCGCGUGAGUGAUGAAGGUCUUCGGAUCGUAAAACUCUGUUAUUAGGGAAGAACAAAUGUGUAAGUAACUAUGCACGUCUUGACGGUACCUAAUCAGAAAGCCACGGCUAACUACGUGCCAGCAGCCGCGGUAAUACGUAGGUGGCAAGCGUUAUCCGGAAUUAUUGGGCGUAAAGCGCGCGUAGGCGGUUUUUUAAGUCUGAUGUGAAAGCCCACGGCUCAACCGUGGAGGGUCAUUGGAAACUGGAAAACUUGAGUGCAGAAGAGGAAAGUGGAAUUCCAUGUGUAGCGGUGAAAUGCGCAGAGAUAUGGAGGAACACCAGUGGCGAAGGCGACUUUCUGGUCUGUAACUGACGCUGAUGUGCGAAAGCGUGGGGAUCAAACAGGAUUAGAUACCCUGGUAGUCCACGCCGUAAACGAUGAGUGCUAAGUGUUAGGGGGUUUCCGCCC